RNAcentral lists this ribosomal RNA (468 nucleotides) under uncultured bacterium. Its description in RNAcentral is "partial 16S ribosomal RNA". It matches the Rfam family "Bacterial small subunit ribosomal RNA", at positions 28 to 507 of the family's 1533-position model. The record is from RNAcentral.
GACGAACGCUGGCGGCGUGCUUAACACAUGCAAGUCGAACGGAAAGGCCCUGCUUUUGUGGGGUGCUCGUGUGGCGAACGGGUGAGUAACACGUGAGUAACACCCCCUUGACUUUGGGAUAACUUCAGGGAACUGGGGCUAAUACCGGAUAGGAGCUCCUGCUGCAUGGUGGGGGUUGGAGAGUUUCGGCGGUUGGGGAUGGUUUGGCGGCUUAUCAGCUUCUUGGUGGGGUAGUGGCUUACCAAGGCUUUGAAGGCUAGCCGGCCUGGGAGGGUGACCGGCCACAUUGCGCCUGAGAGAGGGCGCAGACUCCUACGGGAGGCAGUAGGGGGGAAUAUUGCACAAUGGGCGGAAGCGUGAGGCAGCAACGCCGCGUGCGGGAUGACGGCCUUCGGGUUGUAAACCGCUUUCGCCGGUGACGAAGCGUGAGUGACGGUAAUGGGUAAAGAAGCACCGGCUAACUACGUG